This 627-nucleotide ribosomal RNA is filed under the name Triticum aestivum (bread wheat). RNAcentral describes it as "partial small subunit ribosomal RNA". The record is from RNAcentral. Lineage: Eukaryota; Viridiplantae; Streptophyta; Magnoliopsida; Poales; Poaceae.
AUGGCAAUCCGUGCUAGCCAGAAAACAGAAGAGCAAAACAUAUUGUUGAAGGGCGCUCUACAUCGACUAUUCGAUGAGGUCAGAGAACUUAGGGAAAUAGUGAAAGGUGGCAAAGGACAGGAAGAGAUACUUGAUGAUGAUGCAACAGAUCGUGCGUCCUCUCCUACACUGGAACAUGGAUCUAAUCCUUCACCAACCACUCAGAUGAGAGGAGUUUCUAGUGAUUAUGGUGAUCAUAAUGUGCAUGAGGACAUGAUGAACAAUCAUGAUGCUGAUGUGAUGGUUCCUAUUAGAGGAAGAGCUCCACUCCAACCCACUAGAGGACACGAGGGGGGUGGGAAAGAGGUUGUUCUACUUUCUGUUGAGAGGCCAUGUGGUCAACCCGUGGCUAAGGCUACUCUCCAAACAUCUAAUCCAGAAGCACGUGUGGGAGGAUCUCUUUUAGGUGUUGAGUACCAUGAAGUAGUUGUGAAUAGUGUGAUGAGAGGUGAUCAUAUACUUCCUCGGCAACAUGGAAAGCUGAAGAUGCUGGCAGAUUGCGUUGGGCAUUCUAUAGGUUGGCCGCACCUAAACAUUGUGAAUGAAGAAAGGGCAACAAAAACAUCCAAGGUUCAGCAUCUUCAGUAA